UGAAUACGAGACGCUAAGGCGUCGAAGUAGUGUAUGUCAUACUUCCAAGAAAAGCUUGCACUGUCAUAAGUAAAAAAUGCCUGUACCAUAACCGACACAGGUGGGUAGGUAGAGUAUACUAAGGGGCGCGAGAUAACUCUCUCUAAGGAACUCGGCAAAAUAACUCCGUAACUUCGGGAGAAGGAGUACCUUAUUCUAUAAGGUUGCAAUAACAAGAUCCAAGCAACUGUUUAUCAAAAACACAGGUCUCCGCUAAGUCGUAAGACGAUGUAUGGGGGCUGACGCCUGCCCAGUGCCAGAAGGUUAAAGAAGUCGGUUAGCAUUAGCGAAGCUGGUAACUGAAGCCCUGGUGAACGGCGGCCGUAACAAUAACGGUCCUAAGGUAGCGAAAUUCCUUGUCGGGUAAGUUCCGACCCGCACGAAAGGCGUAAUGAUUUGGAUACUGUCUCGGAGAGGGGCUCGGUGAAAUAGACUUGUCUGUGAAGAUGCGGACUACCUGCACCAGGACAGAAAGACCCUAUGAAGCUUUACUGUAACUUGAAAUUGAAAUUGGACUUUAUUCGCGCAGUAUAGGUGGGAGGUGUUGAUUAUAAUCUUGCGGGAUUAUUGGAGCCAUCAGUGAGAUACCACUCUUGUAAUGUUAGAUUUCUAACUUUGAAUCAUUAUCUGGUCAAAGGACAGUUUCAGGCGGGCAGUUUGACUGGGGCGGUCGCCUCCCAAACGGUAACGGAGGCGUAUAAAGGUUUCCUCUGAAUGGGUAGAAAUCGUAUCUAGAGUGUAAAGGCAUAAGGAAGCUUGACUGUGAGACCUACAAGUCGAACAGGGACGAAAGUCGGUCUUAGUGAUCUGACGGUACUGAGUGGAAAGGCCGUCACUCAACGGAUAAAAGUUACUCUAAGGAUAACAGGCUGAUCUCCCCCAAGAGUUCACAUCGACGGGGAGGUUUGGCACCUUGAUGUCGGCUCAUCGCAUCCUGGGGCGGUAGUACGUCCCAAGGGUUGGGCUGUUCGCCCAUGAAAGCGGUACGCGAGCUGGGUUCAGAACGUCGUGAGACAGUUCGGUCCAUAUCCGGUGUAGGCGUUAGAAUAUUGAGAGGAGCCUUCUUUAGUACGAGAGGACCGAGAAGGACAUACCUCUGGUGUACCAGUUAUCGUGCCAACGGUAAACGCUGGGUAGCUAUGUAUGGAGUGGAUAACCGCUGAAAGCAUCUAAGUGGGAAGCCCACCUCAAGAUAAG
Molecule: ribosomal RNA, 1236 nt
Filed under: metagenome
Description: bacterial LSU rRNA
Rfam family: Bacterial large subunit ribosomal RNA
Source: RNAcentral